Molecule: small nuclear RNA, 199 nt
Filed under: Trichobilharzia regenti
Lineage: Eukaryota; Metazoa; Platyhelminthes; Trematoda; Strigeidida; Schistosomatidae
Description: U2 spliceosomal RNA
Rfam family: U2 spliceosomal RNA
About the family: U2 is a small nuclear RNA (snRNA) component of the spliceosome (involved in pre-mRNA splicing). Complementary binding between U2 snRNA (in an area lying towards the 5' end but 3' to hairpin I) and the branchpoint sequence (BPS) of the intron results the bulging out of an unpaired adenosine, on the BPS, which initiates a nucleophilic attack at the intronic 5' splice site, thus starting the first of two transesterification reactions that mediate splicing.
Source: Rfam by way of RNAcentral
AUUUUAAGCUUAAGACCAUUUGAUGAGCUAAGAUCAUGUGUAGUAUCUGUUCUUUGCUGUGUAAUUUCUGCAACGGUCUCUAAACUGAGACCAAUGAAAUUACCUGUAUUUUUCCCUUACGGACGGGUGCUGUGAGCUCCUCAACCCCGUCCACGGGUCGGCCUCGUAUUGCAUUACCUCGAGGAUUGGCCCAUUAACC